CUCAAAGUGAUCCAAAUAUUCAAUUGCAGAUUCUACAAAAGACUGUUUCAAAAUUCUCUAUCAAAAGGAAGGUUCAACUCUGUGAGUUGAAUGCACACAUCACAACAAUGUUUCUCAAAAUGCUUCUGACUAGUUUUUAUGUGAGGAUAUUCCCGUUUCCACCUCAGACCUCAAAACCCUACAAAUGUCCACAUGCAGAUUCUACAAAAAGAGUGUUUCAAAACUGCUGUAUCAACAGGAACGUUCAACUCUGUGAGUUGAAUGCACAGAUCACAAAGAAGUUUCUGAGAAUUCUUUUAAAUAGUUUUUAUUUGAAGAUAUUCCCAUUUCCAAAUAAGGCCUCAAAGCGGUCCAAAUAUCCACUUGCAGAGUCUUCAAAAAGAGUGUUUCAAAAAUGCCAUAUCAAAAGGAUGGUUCAACUCUGUGAGUUGAAUGCACACAUCACAAAGAAGUCUCUGAGAAUGCUUCAGUCUAAUUAUUUGAAGACAUUCCCUUUUCCAACGAAUGCCUCAAAACGCUCCAAAUAUCCACUUGCAGAUUCUACAAAAAGAGGGUUUCAAAAGUGCUCUAUCAAAAGGAAUUUUCAACUCUGUGAGUUGAAUGCACACAUCCCAAAGAAAUUUCUGAGAAUACUUCUGUCUAGUUUUUAUGUGAAGAUAUUUACUUUUCUACCUUAGGCCUCAAAGUGCUCAAAAUAUCCACUUGCAGAUACUACCAAAAGAGUGUUUCAAAACUGCUCCGUUAAAAGAAAGGUUCACCUCUGUGAGUUGAAUACACACAUUACAAAAAACUUUCUGAGAAUGCUUCUGUCUAGUGAUUAGGUGAAGAUAUUUGCUUUUCAACGAUAGGCUUCAAAUCUGUCCAAAUAUUCACUUGCAGAUUCUAUAAAAAUAUUUUUUCAAAACUGUUCAAUCAAAAGGAAAGUUCAACACUGUGAGUUGAAUGCACAGAUCACAAACAAGUUUCUGAGAAUGCUUCUGUCCAGUUUUUAUUUGACGAUAUUUCCAUUUCCAAUGAAGACCUCAAAGUGUUUCAAAUAGCCACUUGCAGAUUAUACAAAAAGAGUGUUUGAAAACUGCUCUAUCAAAAGUAAGGUUCGACUCUGUGAGUUGAAUGCACACUUCACCAAGAAGUUUCUGAGAAUGCUUCUGUUUAGUUUUUAUAUGAAGAUAUUAACAUUUCAACUGUAGGCCUCAAAGUGGUCCAAAUAUCCACUUGCAGAUUCCACAAAAAGAGGGUUUCAAAACUGCUCUAUCAAAAGGAAGGUUCAACUCUGUGAGCUGAAUGUACAUGUGACAGAGAAGUUUCUGAGAAUGCUUCUGUCUAGUUUCUAUGUGAAGAUAUUUCCUUUUCCACCACAGGCCUCAAAGCGCUCCAAAUGUCCAACUACAGAUCCUUCAAAAUAAGUGUUUCAAAACUGCUCUAUCAAAAGAAAGGUUCGACUCUGUAAGUUGAAUGCACACAUCGUAAAGAAGUUUCUGAGAAUGGUUCUGUCUAGUUUUUAUAUGAAGAUAUUUGCGUUUCCAUCAUACGCCUCAAAGCGAUCCAAAUAUCCACUUGCAGAUUCUACAAAAAGAGGGUUUCAGAAGUCCUCUAUCAAAAAGAAUGUUCUAAUCUCUGAGUUGAAUGCACACAUCACAAAGGAGUUUCUGAAAAAGCUUCUGUCUAAUUUUUAUUUGAAGAUAUUUCCUUUUCUACCAUAGACCUCAAAGCGCUCCAAAUGUCCACUUGGAGAUUCUCUAAAAAGAGUGUUUCAAAACUGCUCUAUCAAAAGGAAUGGUCAACUCUGUGAGAUGAAUGCACACAUCACAAAGAAUUUUCUGAAAGUUCUUCUGUAUAGCUUUUAUGUGAGAAUAUUCCCCUUCCAACGAAGGCCACAAAGCGGUCCAAAUAUCCACUUGCAGAUUCUAUGAAAAGAGUGUUUCAAAACUGCUCUAUCAAAAGGAAGGUUCAACUCUGAGAGUUGAAGACACACAUCACAAAGGAGUUUCUGAGAAUGCUUCUGUCUAGUUUUUAUUUUUAGAUAUUCCCGUUUCCAACGAAGGCAUUAAAGAGUUCCAAAUAUCCACUUGCAGAUUAUACGAAAAGAGUUUUUCAAAACUGCUCUAUCAAAAGGAAGGUUCUACUCUGUGAGUUGAAGGCACACAUCACAAAGAAGUUUCUGAGAAUGCUUCCGUCUGGUUUCUAUGUAACGAUAUUUCCUUUUCCACCACAGGACUCAAAGCCCUCCAAAUGUCCAGUUGCAGAUUCUAUAAAAAGAUGGUUUCUAAACUGCUCUUUCAAAAGGAAGGGUCAAAUUUGUUAAAUGAAUGCACACAACACAAAGAAGUUUCUGAGAAUGCCUCUGUCUAGUCAUUUGAAGAUAUUCCCGUUCCCAAUGAAGGCUUCAAAGCGGUCCAAAUAUCCACCUGCAGAUUCUACAAAAAGAGUGUUUCAAAACAGCUCUAUCAAAAGGAAGGUUCAACUAUGUGAGUUGAAUGCACACAUAACGAAGAGGUUUCUGAGAAUAGUUCUGUCUACUUUCUAUGGGAAGAUAUUUCCUUUUCCACCACAGGCCUCAAAACCCUCCAAAUAUCCACUUGCAGACUCUACAAAAAGAGUGCUUCAAGACUGUACUUUCAGGGAUCAUUUCUAUAGUUUGUUACAAAAAGAGUGCUUCAAAACUCCUCUACCAAAAGGAAGGUUCAACUCUUUGAGUUGAAUGCACACAUAAAAAAGAAGUUUCUGAGAAUGCUUCUGUCUAGUUUUUAUAUGAAGAUAUUUCCUUUUCAAGCAUAGGUCUCAAAGUGCUUCAAAUGUCCAUUUGCAGAUUCUACAAAAAGACUGUUUCAAAACUGCUCUAUGAAAAAUAUUGUUCAACUCUGUGAGUUGAAUGCACACAUCACCAAGAAGUUUCUGAAAAUGCUUCUGUCUAGGUUUUAUUUGAAGAUAUUUCCUUUUCUACCCUAGGCCUCCAAGUGCUCCAAAUGUCCACUUGCAGAUUCUACAAAAAGAGUGUUUCAAACCUGCUCUAUCAAAAGUAAUGUUCAACUCUGUGAGUUGAAUGCACACAUCACAAAGUACUUUCUGAGAAUGCUUCUGCCUAAUUUUUAUGUGAGAAUAUUCCCGUUUCCAACGAAGGCCUACAAGCUGACCCAAUAUUCACCUGCCGAUUCUCCAAAAAGAGUGUUUCAAAACUGCUGUAUCAAAAGAAAGGUUCACCUCUGUGAGUAGAAUGCACACAUCACAAAACACUUUCUUAGAAUGCUUCUGUCUAGUUUUUAUGUGAAGAUAUUCGCUUUUCUACCAUAGGCCUCGAAGCACUCCAAAUCUUCACUUGCAGAUUCUACAAAAAGAGUGUUUCAAAACUACUCUAUAAAAAAGAAGGUUCAACUCUGGGAGUUGAAUGCACACAUCACAAAGAAAUUUCUGAGAAUGCUUCUGUGUAGUGUCUAUUUGAAGAUAUUUCCUUUUCCCCACAGGCCUUAAAGCGCUCCAAAUGUCAACUUGUCAAUACUACAAAAAGAGUGUUUCAAAACUGCUCUAUCAAAAGAAAGGUUGAACUCUGUGAGGUGUAUGCAUACAUCACAAAGAAAUUUCUGAGAAUUCCUCUGUCUAGUUUUUAGUUGAAGAUAGUCCCGUUUCCAACGAAGGCCUCAAAACUGUCCAAAUAUCCACUUGCAGAUUCUAUAAAAUGAGUGUUUCAAAACUGUUCUAUCAAAAGGAAGGUUCAACUUGGUGAGUUGAAUGCACACAUCACAAAGAAGUGUCUGAGAAUGCUUCUGUCUAGUUUUUAUUUGAGAAUAUUCCCGUUUCCAACGAAGGCCUCAAAGCGUUCGAAAUAUCCACUUGCAAAUUAUACAAAAAGAGUGUUUCAAAACCGUUCUAUCAAAAGGAAGGUUCAACUCUGUGAGUUGAAUGCACACAUCGCAAGAGGUUUCUGAGAAUAGUUCUGUCUAGUUUCUAUGUGAAGAUAUUUCCUUUUCCACCACAGUUCUCAAAACCCUCCAAAUGUCCACUUGCAGACUCUACAAAAAGAGUGUUUCAAAUUUGUGUUAUCAAAAGGAAGUUUCAAAUCUGUGAGUUGAAUGCACACAUCACAAAGAAGUUUCUGAGAAUGCUUCUGUCUGUUUUUUUUCGGAGAUAAUCCCGAUUCCAACGAAGGCCUCAUAGCAGUCCAAAUAUCCACUUGCAGAUUCUACGAUAAGUAUGUUUCAAAAUUCCUCUAUCAAAAAAUAUGUUCAACUCUGUGAGUUGAAUGAACAGAUCACAAAGAAGUUUCUGAGAAUGCUUCUGUCUAGUUUUUAUUCCAAGAUAUUCCCUUUUCCAACGAACGCCUCAAAGCAGUCCAAAUACCCACUUGCAGAUCCAUCAAAAAAAGUGUUUCAAACUGCUCUAUUAAAAGGAAGGUUCAGUUCUGUGAAUUGAAUGCACAAAUCACAAAGAAGUUUCUGAGAAUGCGUCUGUCUAGUUAUUUGAAUUCAUUCCCGUUUCCAACGAAGGUUUCAAACAGUCAAAAUAUCGACUUGCAGAUUCUACAAAAAGAGUGUUUCAAAACUGCUCUAUCAAAAGGAAGGUUCAACUCUGUGAGUUGAAUGCACACAUCAUAAAGAGAUUUCUGAGAAUUCUUCUGUCUAGUCUCUAUGUGAAGAUAUUACCUUUUCCACCUCAGGCCUCAAAUCCCUCCAAAUGUCAGCUUGCAGAUUCUACAAAAAGAGUGUUUCAAAACUGUUCCAUCAAGAGGACGGUGCAACUCUCUGAGUUGAAUGCACAAAUCACAAAGAUGUUUCUGAAAAUGCUUCUUGUCCAGUUUUAAUGUGAGAAUAUUCCCCUUUCCAAUGAAGGCCUCAAAGCGCUCCAAACUUCCCCUUGCAGAGUCUACAAAAAGAGUGUUUCAAAACUGCUCUAACAAAAGAAAAGUUCACCUCUGUGAGUUGAAUGCACACAUCACAAAGGAGUUUCUGAGAAUCCUUCUGUCUAGUUUUUAUUUGAAGAAACACACGUUUCCAAUGAAGGCCUCAAAGCGUUCCAAAUAUCCACUUGCAGAUUCUAAAAAAAAGACUGUUUCAAAACUUCUCUGUCAAAAGAACGGUUCAACUCUGUUAGCUGAAUGCACACAUCACAAAGUAGUUUCUGAGAAUACUUCUGUCUAGUUUUAUAUGAAGAUAUUUGCUUUUCUACCAUAGGCUUCAAAGCGCUCCAAAUAUGCACUUGCAGAUUCUACAAAAAGAGUGUUUCAAAACAGCUCUUUCAAAAGGGAGGUUCAACUCGUAGGUUGAAAGCACACAUCAAAAAGUGGUUUCUGAGAAUACUUUUGUCUAGUUUCUAUGUGAAGAUAUUUCCUUUCCUACCAUAUUCCUCAAAGCGCUCCAAAUGUCCACUUUCAGAUUCUUCAAAAGACUGUUUCAAAGCUGCUCUAUCAAAAGGAAGGCUCAACUCUGUGAGUUGAAUGCACACAUCACAUAGAAGUUUCUGAAAAUGCUUCUGUCUAGCUUUUAAGUUAGGAUAUUCCCAUUUCCAAUGAAGGCCUCAAAGAGUUCCAAAUAUCCCCUUGCAGAUUCUCCAAAAAGAGUGUCUCAAAACUUCUCUUUCAAAAGAAAGGUUCACCUCUGUGAGCUGAAUGCACACAUAACAAAGAAGUUUCUGAGAAUGCUUCUGUCUAGUUUUAUAUGAAGAAAAUUUCUUUCCUACUAUAGGCCUAAAAGCGCUCCAAAUAUCCACUUGCAGAUUCUACAAAAAGAGUGUCUCAAAACUGCUAUAUCAAAAGAAAGGUCACCUCUGUGAGUUGAAUGCACACAUCACAAAGUACUUUCUGAGAAUGCUUCUGUCUACUUUUUAUGUGAAGAUACUUGCUUUUCUACCAUAGGCCUCAAAGCGCUCCAAUUGUCCACUUAGAGAUUCUACAAAAGAGUGUUUCAAAACUGCUGUAUCAAAAGGAAGCUUCAAAUCUGUGAGUUGAAUGCACACAACACAAAUAAGUUUCUGAAAAUGCUUCUAUCUAGUUUUUAUGUGAGAAUAUCCCCGUUUCCAAUGAAGGCCUCAAAGCGGUCCAAAUAUCCACUUGCAGAUUCUCCAAAAAGAGUGUUUCAAAACUACUCUACUAAAGGAAAAGUUCACCUCUGUGAGUUGAAUGCCCACAUCACAAAGUACUUUCUGAGAAUGCUUCCAUCUAGUUUUUAUGUGAAGAUAUUUGCUUUUCUACCAUAGGCCUCAAUGCGCUCCAAAUAUCCACUUGCCUGUUCUACAAAGAGUGUUUCAAAACUGGUCUAUCAAAAGGAAGGUUCAACUCUGUAAGUUGAAUGAACACAUCACAAAGAAGUUUCUGAGAAUCCUUCUGUCUAGUUAUUUGAAGAUAUUCACUUUUCCAACAAAGGCCUCAAAGCGGUCCAAAUAUCCACUGGCAGAUUGUAGAAAAAGAGUGUUUCAAAACUGCUCUAUCAAAAGAAAGGUUGAACUCUGUGAGUUGAAUGCACACAUCACAAAGUGGUUUCUGAGAAUGGUUCCGUCUACUUUCUAUGUGAAGAUAUUUCCUUUUCCACCAUAGGCCUCAAAACCCUCCAAAUGUCCACUUGCAGAUUCUACAAAAAGAGGGUUUCAAAACUGUUCUAUCAAAAGGAAGGUUCAAAUCUGUGAGUUGAAUGCACACAUAAAAGAGACGUUUCGGAGAAUGCUACUGUCUAGUUUUUAUUUGAAGAUAUUCCCGUUUCCGACGAAAGCAUCAAAGCAGUCCAAAUAUCCAAUUGCAGGUUAUACAAAAAGAAUGUUUCAAAACAUCUCUAUCAAAAAGAAGGUUCAACUCUGUGAGUUGAAUGAACACAUCACAAAGAAGUUUCUCAGAUGGAUUCUGUCUAUUUUUUAAGUGAGGAUAUUCCCGUUUCCAACACAGGCGUCAAAGUCCUCCAAAUGACCACUUGCAGAUUCUACAAAAAUAAUGUUUCAAAACUUCUCUAUCAAAAAGAGGGUUCAAGUCUGUAAGUUGAAUGCACACAUCACAAAGAUGUUUCUGAGAAUGAUUUUCAUGUCGUUUUCAUAUGAAGAUAUUUCCUUUUCUUUUUUUUGUAUUUUACUUUAAGUUUUAGGGUAUAUGUGCACAAUGUGCAGGUUAGUUACAUAUGUAUACAUUUGCCAUGCUGGUGCGCUGCACCCAGUAACUGGUCAUCUAGCAUUAGGUAUAUCUCACAAUGCUAUCCCUACCCCUACCUCCACCCCACAACAGGCCCCAGAGUGUGAUGUUCCCCUUCCUGUAUCCAUGUGUUCUCAAUGUUCAGUUGCCGCCUAUGAGUGAGAAUAUGUGGUGUUUGGUUUUUUGUUCUUGCG
This 7296-nucleotide long non-coding RNA is filed under the name Homo sapiens (human). Its description in RNAcentral is "long non-coding RNA NONHSAT194187.1". The stretch from base 2607 to 2728 matches the Rfam family "Small nucleolar RNA U3". Lineage: Eukaryota; Metazoa; Chordata; Mammalia; Primates; Hominidae. The record is from RNAcentral.